Molecule: ribosomal RNA, 253 nt
Filed under: uncultured bacterium
Lineage: Bacteria
Description: partial 16S ribosomal RNA
Rfam family: Bacterial small subunit ribosomal RNA
Source: RNAcentral
UACGUAGGGUGCGAGCGUUGUCCGGAAUUACUGGGCGUAAAGAGCUUGUAGGUGGUUUGUCGCGUUGUUCGUGAAAUCUCACGGCUCAACUGUGAGCGUGCGGGCGAUACGGGCAGACUAGAGUACUGCAGGGGAGACUGGAAUUCCUGGUGUAGCGGUGGAAUGCGCAGAUAUCAGGAGGAACACCGGUGGCGAAGGCGGGUCUCUGGGCCGAUACUGACGCUGAGGAGCGAAAGCGUGGGGAGCAAACAGG